GGUGAACGCUGGCGGCGUGCUUAACACAUGCAAGUCGAACGGAAAGGCUCCUGCUUGCAGGGGCACUCGAGUGGCGAACGGGUGAGUAACACGUGGGUGAUCUGCCCUGCACUUCGGGAUAAGCCUGGGAAACUGGGUCUAAUACCGGAUAGGACCAUCGUUUAGUGUCGGUGGUGGAAAGUUUUUUCGGUGUGGGAUGAGCUCGCGGCCUAUCAGCUUGUUGGUGGGGUAAUGGCCUACCAAGGCGUCGACGGGUAGCCGGCCUGAGAGGGUGUACGGCCACAUUGGGACUGAGAUACGGCCCAGACUCCUACGGGAGGCAGCAGUGGGGAAUAUUGCACAAUGGGCGCAAGCCUGAUGCAGCGACGCCGCGUGGGGGAUGACGGCCUUCGGGUUGUAAACUCCUUUCGCCAGGGACGAAGCGAAAGUGACGGUACCUGGAUAAGAAGCACCGGCUAACUACGUG
This 466-nucleotide ribosomal RNA is filed under the name uncultured bacterium. Its description in RNAcentral is "partial 16S ribosomal RNA". It matches the Rfam family "Bacterial small subunit ribosomal RNA", at positions 28 to 507 of the family's 1533-position model. The record is from RNAcentral.